RNAcentral lists this long non-coding RNA (212 nucleotides) under Lathyrus oleraceus (garden pea). RNAcentral's name for it is "Pisum sativum (pea) long non-coding RNA (PSAT_LNC022727)". Lineage: Eukaryota; Viridiplantae; Streptophyta; Magnoliopsida; Fabales; Fabaceae. The record is from RNAcentral.
GGGCUUUCUGAAUCAAGCCCAUCACAACUCUUUUCCUUAACACAAACACCAGGUCCAACGUACCCCCUACCUCUAGAUUUUUAUUUCUCUUUUUUUAAUCUUUUGUGUUUUUUAGAACUUUUCUUUUAUACAUUUUAGCGCAUCUUAGUUCAUGUUAAUUCAUGUCAAUACAUCUUUAACACAUAAAAAUAAAAUUUAUUUUGUUAUUUAAA